GGCCGCGGGAAUUCGAUUAGAGUUUGAUCCUGGCUCAGAACGAACGCUGGCGGCGUGGAUAAGACAUGCAAGUCGAACGAGACUUUUCGCUGUAGCAAUACAGUGAAAAGUUUAGUGGCGAACGGGUGCGUAACACGUGGGCAAUCUGCCUUAAAGUGGGGGAUAGCUCGGCGAAAGCCGAAUUAAUACCGCAUGUGGUCAGGGAAGACAUCUUCCCAACACCAAAGCCGGGGCAACCUGGCGCUUUUUGAUGAGCCCGCGGCCUAUCAGCUAGUUGGUGAGGUAACGGCUCACCAAGGCUAUGACGGGUAGCUGGUCUGAGAGGACGACCAGUCACACUGGAACUGAGACACGGUCCAGACACCUACGGGUGGCAGCAGUCGAGAAUUUUUCUCAAUGGGGGAAACCCUGAAGGAGCGACGCCGCGUGGAGGAUGAAGGCUUUCGGGUUGUAAACUCCUGUCAUUUGGGAACAAGGUGCACCGGUUAACUGCCGGAGUAUUGAUAGUACCAGAAGAGGAAGAGACGGCUAACUCUGUGCCAGCAGCCGCGGUAAUACAGAGGUCUCAAGCGUUGUCCGGAUUCAUUGGGCGUAAAUGGUGCGUACGUGGCCCGCCACUUCAGGUGUUAAAUUUGGGAGCUUACUCCCGAAACUGCAUUUGAAAUCUGGCUGCUCUAAGACUGGAAAGGACAAUGAAAUCCACGGGGUACCCUGAAAUGGGUUCAUUUCCGAAGGAAACCAUGGGCCAAGGCCACAUCCUGGACGUUGGCUGACCCUAAGCACAAGGCCCGGGCAGCCACGGGAUUAGAAUCCCGGGUUUUCGGGGCCGGG
This 831-nucleotide ribosomal RNA is filed under the name uncultured Verrucomicrobiota bacterium. RNAcentral describes it as "uncultured Verrucomicrobia bacterium partial 16S ribosomal RNA". It matches the Rfam family "Bacterial small subunit ribosomal RNA", at positions 1 to 804 of the family's 1533-position model. The record is from RNAcentral. Lineage: Bacteria; Pseudomonadati; Verrucomicrobiota.